CCGGAGCUAACGCGUUAAGUCGACCGCCUGGGGAGUACGGCCGCAAGGUUAAAACUCAAAUGAAUUGACGGGGGCCCGCACAAGCGGUGGAGCAUGUGGUUUAAUUCGAUGCAACGCGAAGAACCUUACCUGGUCUUGACAUCCACGGAAUUCGGCAGAGAUGCCUUAGUGCCUUCGGGAACCGUGAGACAGGUGCUGCAUGGCUGUCGUCAGCUCGUGUUGUGAAAUGUUGGGUUAAGUCCCGCAACGAGCGCAACCCUUAUCCUUUGUUGCCAGCGCGUGAUGGCGGGAACUCAAAGGAGACUGCCGGUGAUAAACCGGAGGAAGGUGGGGAUGACGUCAAGUCAUCAUGGCCCUUACGACCAGGGCUACACACGUGCUACAAUGGCGCAUACAAAGAGAAGCGACCUCGCGAGAGCAAGCGGACCUCAUAAAGUGCGUCGUAGUCCGGAUUGGAGUCUGCAACUCGACUCCAUGAAGUCGGAAUCGCUAGUAAUCGUGGAUCAGAAUGCCACGGUGAAUACGUUCCCGGGCCUUGUACACACCGCCCGUCACACCAUGGGAGUGGGUUGCAAAAGAAGUAGGUAGCU
RNAcentral lists this ribosomal RNA (590 nucleotides) under bacterium. RNAcentral describes it as "bacterial SSU rRNA". It matches the Rfam family "Bacterial small subunit ribosomal RNA", at positions 846 to 1435 of the family's 1533-position model. The record is from RNAcentral.